GUUUAUUACAGAGCAGCGGGGCAUGUGAACGGCAUUCACCACCGUGUUGAUGGAGCGGACCAGGGAGGAGAUCCAGUGACCUUGACAACGAGGACAGACGAUGCUCAUACAAUGUCUCGAUGACGGAGGUCCUGGAAAGGUUUGAUGAUUUGCUGCUGCUCGAAUUGACAAAUCAUUGCAUCCAGAGGCUGGAAGAGGCGAUUCAAGAGGUGGUGGUAGAAUGUCAUUUUCGUUCUAGCAUACGAGAGAUAUUUCAGUGACCAAGAGUACAAGCAAAUCAUCAAAGGCACAAAUAAAGGAUAACGUGCGGCCAGUUCCAGACUUCUCCUCAAACUGGUGACAGAGAAAGAGCCCCGGGUCCGAAAACUGAUACGGAAAUGCUUCGUGAAAAUGCACAACGUGCUCUCCUAAUGAGAGGAAUUGCUGAAAGCAAUGGGGGUAGAUGGUACAGGACAUGCAUGGUUCGAUAUGGAAUCUGUUCUUAUCAUCAAAACACAACCCACACUCAUUCCAUGAACUGAUUCCAACAAUUUGUGAUCUUAUCGAAUCGUUCAAAGCCAUGCAGGCUUCCUUGGAACUAGCUGCUGAACUGAAAGGUAUUCAAUUGCAUGCUUUGUUUAGUUUGAAGACACAGCAUAGAACCAUUACAUUCGGACCACUGUGUACAUGCUGUCCAUCGAUCACACGUUCACGAUGGUCCUAUUUUGUCAAAUGUUUAUAUCAACUUCCUACAGACGAGGAACAAUUUACAGAGGGCCAAUUAACCUACAUCUUUGUGAUGUUGGAGG
Long non-coding RNA from Amblyraja radiata (thorny skate), 788 nucleotides. RefSeq lists it as uncharacterized. The record is from RefSeq and is a predicted model, not a curated record. Lineage: Eukaryota; Metazoa; Chordata; Chondrichthyes; Rajiformes; Rajidae. The transcript is spliced from 3 exons.